CAGAAAACAUUUUUCAACCAGCGAUUGAGUUGUGAGACACUGCUGUAGAGCUCAUCACUCCCCCUAACUGGAAGGGGGCCAGUGACAAUUACUCGAUACCGACACAUCUUUCUAGCUGAUUUACACGCUGAAGCUAUGUUGCGCUUGGUGACCUCUGACUGUUUCAUCCUAACAUCGUUGGUGCCGACGUGGAUAACAAUAUCUCUAUACUCUCUACACUCGCCAGUUUUAGCUUUAGCCAGCACCAUCUUCAGAUUAGCCUUAACCUCGGAAGCCCUGCCCCCUGGUAAACAGUGUAUGAUUGCUGGAUGAUUUUUUUAAAAGUCUAAUACUGCGGGUAAUGGAGUCGCCAAUGGCUAGGGUUUUCAAUUUGUCAGAGCUAAUGGUGGGAAGCUUGGGCGUCUCAGACCCCGUAACGGGAGGAGUAGAGACAAGAGAAGGCUCGGCCUCAGACUCCAACGCUGCAUAAUGGGGAAAACCGGUUGAAAGUUUCUGUCGGCUGAAUGAGCGAGAAACCAUGAGAAAGUUGUCCGGCUGCGGGGACCGUGCGAUGGGAUUUAUACUAACGUCACUAUCUGUAUUUACUGGUGGCACAGACGCUGUUUCAUCCUUUGCUACACUGACAUUACCCUUACCUAACGAUUGCGUCUGAAGCUGGGCUUGUAGCACAGCUAUCCUCGCCAUAAGGCGCUCGUUCUCCUGUAUAUUAUGAGUACAGCGACUGCAAUUAGAAGGCAUCAUGUUACCACUUAGCUUCGGUUGUUGGAGGUCCUGACGAACCAUGUCCAGUUAAAGCGUCCGAAGUGAAAAGUUGAAUGAAAAAAAGUUGAGUGAGGGAAAAGCCAAAAAUAUAAAUGGUAAUUAAAAAGUAAAAAUCGUAAAGUUGUCAGGUAGCAAAGUAAGAUUGCCAACAAAACGCACAAAACAAACAGCAACACGUAAACAAGUCUGCAAGUUGUUAAACAUUUUACUUGACCUUGUUUCAAUGUUAAUAGUAAAAUGGUAUGUUUGAAUAAAAUGUGAAGCCACAGUCCAACAAUUCCUGCCAGAACAUUGACUACUCCUGGUAUAUGAAGGCUAAUGCCUUUCAGUAAGAACAAGUCUACCAUCCAGAUGCCUACCUCAAUGUCCCUGCUUAGAUUUGGAAACAAACUGGUCGAUUCAGCUGAGCUAUCAUGCCAACACAUUUAGAUUUGCUGUGAUUUUGAGAUUUUCUCCAUUGCCAAGAUAAUCCAUUGUGGCCUUUCAAGAAGCUGAUUAAACAGCAUGAUCAUUACAUGGGUGCACCUUGUGGCAGGGACAUUAAAAGGCCAUAAUGUCACAGAUGUCCCUAAGUUUUGAGGAAGCAUACAAGUGGCAUGCUGACUGCAGGAAUGUCCACUAGAGCUGUUGCCAGAGAAUUUAAGGUUAAUUUCUCUACCACAGCCCAGGACCUCCACAUCCGGCUUCCUCACCUGCAGGAUCCUCUGAGACCAGCCACCCAGACAGCUGAUGAAACUGGGGGUUUGCACAGCUGAAAAUUUCUGCACAAAUUGUCAGAAACCGCCUCAGGGAAACUCAUCUACGUCCUCACCAGGGUCUUGACCCUACGGCAGUUUGGUGAUGUAAUCAACUUCAGUGGGCAAAUGCUCACCUUCGAUGGCCAUUGGCACGCUGGAGAAGUAUGUUCUUCACAGAGGAAUACUUGUUUCAACUGUACUGGGCAGAUGGCAGACAGUGUGUAUGGCGUCGUGUGGAUGAGCGGUUUGCUAAUGUCAAUGUAGUGAACAGAGUGCCCCAUGGUGGGGUUAUGGUAUGGGCAGGCAUAAGCUACGGACAACAAACAGUUGUAUUAUAUUAAUGUAAAUUUGAAUGCACAGAGAUACCGUGACGAGUUCCCGAGGCUCAUUGUCAUGCCAUUCAUCUGCCGCCAUCACCUCAUGUUUCAGCAUGAUAAUGCACUGCCCCAUGUCGCAAGGAUCUGUACACAAUUCCUAGAAGCUGAAAAUGUCCCAGUUCUGGGCCUCCCGGGUGACGCAGUGGUUAAGGGUGCUGUACUGCAGCGCCAGCUGUGCCACCAGAGACUCUGGGUUCGCGCCCAGGCUAUGUCGUAACCGGCCGCGACCGGGAGGUCCGUGAGGCGAUGCACAAUUGGCCUAGCGUCGUCCGGGUUAGGGAGGGUUUGGCCGGUAGGGAUAUCCUUGUCUCAUCGCGCACCAGCAACUCCUGUGGCGGGCCGGGCGCAGUGCACGCUAACCAAGGUUGCCAGGUGCACUGUGUUUCCUCCGACACAUUGGUGCGGCUGGCUUCCGGGUUGGAUGCGUGCUGUGUUAAGAAGCAGUGCGGCUUGGUUGGGUUGUGUAUCGGAGGACACAUGACUUUCAACCUUCGUCUCUCCCCAGCCCGUACGGGAGUUGUAGCGAUGAGACAAGAUAGUAGCUACUAACAAUUGGAUUCCACGAAAUUGGGGAGAAAAAGGGGUCAAAUUAAAAUAGAAUUUAAAAUUUAAAAUUUCCUAGUUCUUCCAUGGCCUGCAUACUCACCAGACAUGUCAUCCAUUGAGCUAGUUUGGGAUGCUCUGGAUCGACGUGUACGACAUUGGGUUCCAGUUCCCGCCAAUACCCAGCAACUUCGCACAGCCUUUGAAGAGGAGUGGAACAGCAUUCCACAGGCCACAAUGAACAGUCUGAUCAACUCAAUGCAAAGGAGAUGUGUUGCGCUGCAUGAGGCAAAUGGUGGUCACACCAGAUACUGACUGGUUUUCUGAUCCACAACCCUAACUUUAAAAAAAGGUAUGUCCUUCCCAGUCAUUUGGAAUCCGUAGAUCAGGGCCUAAUGAAUUUAUUUCAAUUGACUGAUUUCCUUAUGAACUGUAACCCAGUAAAAUCUUUGCAAUUGUUGCAUGUUGAAUUUAUAUUUUUGUUCAGUGUUUUUUAUAUAUAUAUAUAUUUACAUACAGUGGGGAGAACAUACAGUGGGGUACACUUCAAAUGUGAGAGACGGAAUCUAAAACAAAAAUCCAGAAAAUCACAUUGUAUGAUUUUUAAGUAAUUAAUUUGCAUUUGGUACAGAAACCUUUGUUUGCAAUUACAGAGAUCAUACGUUUCCUGUAGUUCUUGACCAGGUUUGCACACACUGCAGCAGGGAUUGGCAACGCCGUUUUGCAGAUACCCAGCUGGGGCCUGCCCGCUGACACAGGUGGUUUGCUUUGGCCUCCUGGCCCCUGCUCCCCCAUCUUCCAGUAAUCCGACCAGAUCCCAACAUCAUGCCACAGCCAACCCCAUCUCAUGUCCCGCCUGGAGAACCUCCUGGAGAGGGUACGCUGCUCCACGGCUGCAGCCCAGAACCACUGAAAAGAGAAAGAGGGCCCGUCCCUCCAGAAGGUCCCCUGGGAUGAGAUGCCAUUAUGGAGGAUGGAGAGGUCCUGGUCUACUUCCCCAAGGAGGGACUGAAGAACUUCCAGCCCCCUGCAGAGUGGACAGAGGAGGUCAGACUCACACACCAGGAGAAGCAGCAGGAGACGCAGGGAGCCAGUCCAGGAAGACUUGCAGCUCUCUCUCGGCCGGAUCCCCCCACACCCUGCCCCACCUUCGACUUCACACACACCCCCUCGCCCCAGAAGGUCCUCCACAGUCUUCAGGAUGAGAGGGCCCACAGCCAGGGGUGGGAGGAGCAGCUGCAGCGCUGGCUAGAAGUGGCUAACUCUCCAUGACUAACUGCAUGUCCCCCAACGGUACUGCUGCUGCACAGGUACAAUGUUAAGAUGGCGCUAAAGAGGAUGGCUGACAUUUUACAUUUACCUAACCAACUGUGCUAUUUUUUUAUAUAUUUUUUGCGUUGUUUGUACAUAAUGUUGCUGCUACUGUCUCUUAUGACCAAAAAUAACUUCUGGGCAUCAGAACAGCAAUUACUCACCACGCACUGGAAGAAGCUUUUUCCUUUAACGAGUCCGAUGAGAAGGAUACACUGCUUUCCCGGGAACAGGCCCAAAACCCUGUCAUUUGAGGGGGCGGCAGGUAGAGCGUUGGACCAGUAACCGAAAGGUUGCUAGAUUGAAUCCCUGAGCUGACAAGGAAGUACCAGUGACUCGCUCAAUACGGAAGUGGUCAGAUGACGCAGAUGCUAUGCUACAGGACUGUUUUGCUAGCACAGACUGGAAUAUGUUCCGGGAUUCAUCCGAUGACAUCGAGGAGUACACCACCUUAGUCAUCGGCUUCAUCAAUAAGUACAUCGACGACGUCAUCCCCACAGUGACCGUACGUUCAUAUCCCAACCAGCAGCCAUGGAUUACAGGCAACAUCCGCAUUGACCUAAAGGCUAGAGCUGCCGCUUUCAAGGAGGGAGACACUAAUCCGGACUCUUAUAAGAAAUCCUGCUAUGCCCCCAGACGAACAAUCAAACAAGCAAAGCGUCAAUACGGGACUAAGAUUGAAUCCUACUACACUGGCCCUGAUGCUCGUCCGAUGUGGCAGGGCUUGAAAACUAUUACGGACUACAAAGGGAAACCCAGAUGCGAGCUGCCCAGUGACGCGAGCCUACCUACCAGACGAACUAAAUGCCUUUUUAAGCUCGCUUCGAGGCAAGCAACACUGAAGCAUCCACGAGAGUACCAGCUGUUCUGGAUGACUAUGUAAUAACGCUCUCGGUAGCCGAUGUGAGCAAGACCUAAAGGUCAACAUUCACAAAGCCGCAGGGCCAGACGGAUUACCAGGACGUCUACUCAAAGCAUGCGUGGACCAACUGGCAGGUGUCUUCACUGACAUUUUCAACCUCUCCCUGACCAAGUCUGUAAUACCUACAUGUUUCAAGCAGACCACCAUAGUCCCUGUGCCCAAGGAAGCGUCGGUACCUACUCACGUAGGUAGGCAUUACGUGCUUUGAAAAUGCAGGGGACCAGUGGAUCACAGCUAUGGGACACAGCUUUUGCAGUACAGGCCUUUCUAGAGGUGAUAUGUUGAUAUUACGGCAGGGGAUCAGGACAGCUCAGUUUAGAAGAGUGCCUUAAACACGCCCACAAGUUCCUAACCAUCACACAGAGGGCCUGUGACUUCCUGAUGGCCCUCCAGAUGAAGGACAGGGGGCUGGGGGUGAGGACUUUGAGUCCUGUGAGCAACGUCGCUAUGUCCAGAGCGCUAACUCCCAGAGCAGGCCAACACCUGCUUGGCCUCAUGGCUGCCAGGUAACUGCCUAUGUAACUGCCUUGUAACAACCUAUGUUACUGCCUUGUAACUACCUAUGUGACUGCCUUGUGACUACCUAUGUGACUGCAUUGUAACUACCUAUGUGACUGCAUUGUUACCACCUUGUAACUACCUAUGUGACUCCAACUAAACUUCCUGUAGACGGGUUGGAUGUUUAGCAACAAAACCUAACGCUUGCUUAACUAUGGGGCAAAAGAUUUUAGAUUGAUUUAGGUUGAUUUAGAUUGUGAACAACAUGUAUACAAAAUUGUGUGUCCAUUGUUUAUUGAAAACAUGAAUAAAUGUGUACAAUGAGCACCUAUCUCUCAACUACAUUGUUACAGUUGUUGGUUAGAUAGCUAACACAUUUUUGCCAUAUUAGCAUAGAUGUGACAUCAGUCCAUACACCUCAAACCAAGACAUGGUAUGAAGAACAAGAUGAAAAUAGCUGAAAAGACCCACCUACAAUUCCCCAAAUGGCAGCUUCUUGUCAUCAAGAAUCACAACAACACACCGACUUCUGCCCCAUUGAAGCAUGCACAUGGUUUUCGUGACGUUGUCAGCUAACUCGUCUAUGUAAAUACACCAUAAAAUUUGAUAAAUAAAAC
Molecule: long non-coding RNA, 5767 nt
Organism: Oncorhynchus tshawytscha (Chinook salmon)
Lineage: Eukaryota; Metazoa; Chordata; Actinopteri; Salmoniformes; Salmonidae
Source: Ensembl